GCUCGCGUGGCGGAAUUGGUAGACGCGUAUGAUUCAGGAUCAUAUGGUGAGAGCCGUGGAGGUUCGAGUCCUCUCGCGAGCACCA
RNAcentral lists this transfer RNA (85 nucleotides) under Verrucomicrobiales bacterium. RNAcentral's name for it is "tRNA-Leu". It matches the Rfam family "tRNA". Rfam says of the family: Transfer RNA (tRNA) molecules are approximately 80 nucleotides in length. The record is from RNAcentral. Lineage: Bacteria; Pseudomonadati; Verrucomicrobiota; Verrucomicrobiia; Verrucomicrobiales.